Molecule: ribosomal RNA, 301 nt
Filed under: uncultured bacterium
Lineage: Bacteria
Description: partial 16S ribosomal RNA
Rfam family: Bacterial small subunit ribosomal RNA
Source: RNAcentral
CAGUCGCCACGGUAAUACGAAGGGGGCUAGCGUUGUUCGGAAUUUACUGGGCGUAAAGCGCACGUAGGCGGACAUUUAAGUCAGGGGUGAAAUCCCGGGGCUCAACCCCGGAACUGCCUUUGAUACUGGGUGUCUAGAGUAUGGAAGAGGUGAGUGGAAUUCCGAGUGUAGAGGUGAAAUUCGUAGAUAUUCGGAGGAACACCAGUGGCGAAGGCGGCUCACUGGUCCAUUACUGACGCUGAGGUGCGAAAGCGUGGGGAGCAAACAGGAUUAGAUACCCCUGUAGUCCCUGUCUCUUAUA